Molecule: long non-coding RNA, 377 nt
Organism: Eubalaena glacialis (North Atlantic right whale)
Lineage: Eukaryota; Metazoa; Chordata; Mammalia; Artiodactyla; Balaenidae
Exons: 2
Source: RefSeq, a predicted model, not a curated record
CUGGUUAUGAUCGGUUGCCAGUGGAGGAAGAAGCGAAUGCGCAGGCUGAAGCGCAAAAGAAGAAAGAUGAGGCAGAGGUCCAAGUAAACUUGUACACCCAUGGAAGCCACAGGAGCAGAAACAAGGGAAGCCAGAGGACAGGGACGCUGGUACAAAUUGUUGGACUGCUUGCCUACUGUCUAGAACUUGUCUCAGUGGAUCUGGAACAUCGAUGGCCAUUCUGAUCGCCUCGACCGCCUUUGAGAGACCCACCUUGCUCGUAUCAAAACGGUCCCUUUUGGUCCUUUGCCCUGGACCUUUGACAUACUGGACUAGUUCUAUUCUCAGUUGUGGCUGAAUGUAACAUGUAACAAUAAAUCAUCUCUUUUGCUGUCUUA